AACGCAAAUGGCGCUGCAGGGUCCUCUCUGUAGCAUGUCUGUUUGAGUGUCAGUUCUUUCUCUCACUACAACCUAGUUGUAGAGGGGCUAGCGAUGAGGUGUUGGCUGCAAUUUAUUGCAGACAUCCCUUUAAAUUCAAAUGGAUUCUCCAAAGGAAUAUCAUUUUACAUCCCCAAAGCCAAAACACUGUCGCCAUUUUCAUUAAUGGGCGCUUUGGUGUGGUAAUACUACCUUCAUCAAAGUGAAAGACUAUGCCAUAAAGCCUUGGGAGUUGUGCGAUAUUCUUGCUUUACUGGAGGGUUCGCCAAACAAGGGUUCAGGAUAUGUGAGUGUAUUCUCACACAUCUCUCUCUUCUUAUGACCUCAAAUCAGGCAAGAUUACCCGCUGAACUUAA
This 395-nucleotide unclassified non-coding RNA is filed under the name uncultured fungus. RNAcentral describes it as "partial contains ITS1, 5.8S rRNA and ITS2". Lineage: Eukaryota; Fungi. The record is from RNAcentral.